RNAcentral lists this transfer-messenger RNA (388 nucleotides) under bovine gut metagenome. It matches the Rfam family "transfer-messenger RNA". Rfam says of the family: Bacterial tmRNA, also known as 10Sa RNA or SsrA, is named for its dual tRNA and mRNA-like properties. Its role is to liberate the mRNA from a stalled ribosome. To accomplish this part of the tmRNA is used as a reading frame that ends in a translation stop signal. The record is from RNAcentral. RNAcentral also lists the same sequence under 1 other name.
GGGGUCGUUUGGUUUUGACAGCGAGAACGGGGGGAUGUAAGCAGGUCGGAACUUGUGAGCCGAUUCCGUUAACAGUCAACUCUCCAGCCAAUAAACGGCGAAACUUCUUAUGCAUUCGCAGCGUAACCGCCGCGGAUCCCGCCGCACGGACAAGGUCCGCAGCCGCGGGCGUCUCCCCGGAAGUUCUUCCGUCCAACGUUCGGAACGAGGCGUCGUAAAAGGACAGAUAGCGAGCGCAGGCUUCGAUGCGUGAGCGAAACUUUAGAAGAUAAGCUGCUGCAAGGUCGGUCUCGUACCAUACAGCAGCCGACAACCAAACGAAGACUAAACUUGUAGAAAGCAUCUCUGCGGCUUGUUUGGACGAGGGUUCGACUCCCUCCGGCUCCAC